Molecule: transfer RNA, 92 nt
Filed under: Hydrogenophilales bacterium 16-64-46
Lineage: Bacteria; Pseudomonadati; Pseudomonadota; Hydrogenophilia; Hydrogenophilales
Description: tRNA-Ser
Rfam family: tRNA
About the family: Transfer RNA (tRNA) molecules are approximately 80 nucleotides in length. Their secondary structure includes four short double-helical elements and three loops (D, anti-codon, and T loops).
Source: RNAcentral
GGAGAGGUGGCAGAGUGGUCGAAUGUACCUGACUCGAAAUCAGGCGUAGGUGCAAGCCUACCGUGGGUUCGAAUUCGAUGGGCAUGCCCCCA